UACGUAGGGUGCAAGCGUUAAUCGGAAUUACUGGGCGUAAAGCGUGCGCAGGCGGUUUUGUAAGACAGAUGUGAAAUCCCCGGGCUCAACCUGGGAACUGCAUUUGUGACUGCAAGGCUAGAGUACGGCAGAGGGGGAUGGAAUUCCGCGUGUAGCAGUGAAAUGCGUAGAUAUGCGGAGGAACACCAAUGGCGAAGGCAAUCCCCUGGGCCUGUACUGACGCUCAUGCACGAAAGCAUGGGGAGCAAACAGG
This 253-nucleotide ribosomal RNA is filed under the name uncultured bacterium. RNAcentral's name for it is "partial 16S ribosomal RNA". It matches the Rfam family "Bacterial small subunit ribosomal RNA", at positions 524 to 776 of the family's 1533-position model. The record is from RNAcentral.